UUUGGAUUUUUGGGUGUAUCUAAACAAGGCCUUAAUGAAGACGGAGUUGUGAGUUGCCGAUCGAAUCGACGAUGGGUCUAUCAGGGCGGUUUCAGAUUGAGGACAAACAAAUAUAUUGAUGAGAGCCCGUGCGCUUGUCUUAUAACCGUAUUUUUUUUUUGUCAGGCAGCCAACAAUAUUUAGAUACAACUGAUGACUCGUCGUCUCAUCUCUCGGACUCGUGUUGCUCGAAAAUGCUGAAACAAAGUGAUUGAGUUGCCGGCUGAC
This is a long non-coding RNA of Sorghum bicolor (sorghum), 267 nucleotides long. RefSeq lists it as uncharacterized. The transcript is spliced from 2 exons. The record is from RefSeq and is a predicted model, not a curated record. NCBI's taxonomy places the organism in Eukaryota, Viridiplantae, Streptophyta, Magnoliopsida, Poales, Poaceae.